GGGUGCCUUACCUCUCCCCUCUCUGUGCCCUGGACUCCCGUUACUGCUGUGAACCCGACGCCCCUUCUCCUCCUGCGCCUCCCUCGUCCACCACGUCUACACCACUUCAACGAUGAAGCUGUGCUGCCUCGUCAUUGCCACUUAAAGGACGAGACGCCCCGAAGAGGAAGAAGCCGUGCAACAGGUCAUUGCUGAGUCCGGCGUGCUGAAGCCUUCGUGUUGGAGACUUCAGAUUGUGAGGCCUGUUAUGGGGUUUACUACUUUAUUUAAAGUAAACUGGUGUCUAACCAU
This is a long non-coding RNA of Eriocheir sinensis (Chinese mitten crab), 291 nucleotides long. RefSeq lists it as uncharacterized. The record is from RefSeq and is a predicted model, not a curated record. The transcript has 2 exons. Lineage: Eukaryota; Metazoa; Arthropoda; Malacostraca; Decapoda; Varunidae.